GGGCUCCGGGCGGCCGUGACCCUGCUGGAGUCCGGGGGGGACCUCCAGCCCCCCGGGGGGUCCCUGCGCCUCCUCUGCCGAGGGUCCGGCUUCAGUUUCGGGAAUUUUGACAUGUACUGGAUCCGUCAGAGACCCGGGCAGGGCCUGGAGUGGGUCGCGUGGAUCUACUACAAUGGUGCCAGCACCAACUACGCGCCAUCGUUGAAGGGCCGGGUGACGAUCUCCAGGGACAACGGGCAGAGCUCGGUGACGCUGACCAUGAACAGCCUCAAGGACGACGAUUCCGGAUCCUAUUUCUGUGCCAGAUGUUACACCAGUGGUUGUGGUAAUGCUGCUGAUGCUUAUGCUGGCCGGGUGACGAUCUCCAGGGACAACGGGCAGAGCUCGGUGACGCUGACCAUGAACAGCCUCAGGGACGAGGAUUCCGGAUCCUAUUUCUGUGCCAAACGUGCUGCUGCUUGGGGUGCUGCUGGUGGUGCUCAUGAUGAAGUCGCCCCUGAUGGAUCCCUGGCCCCACCUCAGCGUCCCCACCUGUCCCCAAACCCAGACCCUUCCCCAAACCUCAGCCCUUGA
This is a non-coding RNA of Pyrgilauda ruficollis (rufous-necked snowfinch), 573 nucleotides long. NCBI's taxonomy places the organism in Eukaryota, Metazoa, Chordata, Aves, Passeriformes, Passeridae. The record is from the annotation of a RefSeq genome assembly.